GCGGGGGUGCCCGAGCCAGGUCAAAGGGGCAGCCCUGAGGCGGCUGUGGCGUAGGCCUGCGCGGGUUCGAAUCCCGCCCCCCGCA
RNAcentral lists this transfer RNA (85 nucleotides) under Thermoprotei archaeon. RNAcentral describes it as "tRNA-Leu". It matches the Rfam family "tRNA". Rfam says of the family: Transfer RNA (tRNA) molecules are approximately 80 nucleotides in length. Their secondary structure includes four short double-helical elements and three loops (D, anti-codon, and T loops). Further hydrogen bonds mediate the characteristic L-shaped molecular structure. tRNAs have two regions of fundamental functional importance: the anti-codon, which is responsible for specific mRNA codon recognition, and the 3' end, to which the tRNAs corresponding amino acid is attached (by aminoacyl-tRNA synthetases). tRNAs cope with the degeneracy of the genetic code in two manners: having more than one tRNA (with a specific anti-codon) for a particular amino acid; and 'wobble' base-pairing, i.e. permitting non-standard base-pairing at the 3rd anti-codon position. Lineage: Archaea; Thermoproteati; Thermoproteota; Thermoprotei. RNAcentral also lists the same sequence under 2 other names. The record is from RNAcentral.